RNAcentral lists this non-coding RNA (116 nucleotides) under Marinomonas posidonica. Its description in RNAcentral is "TPP sequence". It matches the Rfam family "TPP riboswitch aptamer (THI element)". From Rfam's summary of the family: Vitamin B(1) in its active form thiamin pyrophosphate (TPP) is an essential coenzyme that is synthesised by coupling of pyrimidine and thiazole moieties in bacteria. The previously detected thiamin-regulatory element, thi box was extended, resulting in a new, highly conserved RNA secondary structure, the THI element, which is widely distributed in eubacteria and also occurs in some archaea. The record is from RNAcentral. Lineage: Bacteria; Pseudomonadati; Pseudomonadota; Gammaproteobacteria; Oceanospirillales; Oceanospirillaceae.
CAUUAUCUCAUGGGGUGCUUGGUUGAUAAAAAACCAAAGCUGAGAAGCGAAGGCUCGCUAACCCAUUGAACCUGAUCCAGAUUAUGCUGGCGUAGGAAUUGAGAUAGCAAGUCUGU